GCCUGAGGGGCUGCGGAGCGUUUCCCGCCCUGCUGGGGGGUGGAGUGGGGACGGGGAGCCCUGGGUUGUGGAACUUGCCUGCUCCUCGGUGACUUUGUUCGCUCCUCUGCGAUAAAAAGCAGAUAACUCGGUGGUUUUUUUCGCAGUAUCGACAUGUGCAGCAGGACAUAAUGAAGCUUUAUGUGGAUGUUGCAGCAGUGCGUGGAGGAAGUUCCUUUUAACGGAUGAUGCAGGUACAAGGUAGACAACGUAUCUUGAAUUGCUAAAAAAACGCUGUUUGCGUCAGAGUAAUGUCAAAGUGCUUACAGUGCAGGUAGUGAUAUAUAGAACCUACUGCAGUGAAGGCACUUGUAGCAUUAUGUUGACAACUGCCUCAGGAGAUCUCGCAGGACUUCAGAGAACGGAAAGCAUCUUCUGGUAGAGCCCUGAUUUUGGACUAACAGAUACCUGGUGUUUCUAAAAGUGUUGGACUGGAUUUUUGUGCAGGUGAGUAUGCUGUAAGAACUGGUUAGGUGUUGGAAAUCCCAAAUACUUUUACAGACAUAAUUGCAAGAAUGAACGUAGAGUAUUUUAUAGUGGAUUACGCUUAAGAAACAUACGAGAGGUUCUUGGAGUAUUUUCAACAGUCAGCCUAUAAGCUUGGCACACUUAAGACCUUGGGGAAAACAGACUAGAGGUGCUAAAAAAAAAAAUUGGCUCUUCAUUCUUUCCCAGUCUCUGUGCUUUAAUAGCUGGGUGCCCAGGGCCAUUCAGAGAAGUAGUUCUUUUCUGUUCUCCCGAUUCACGAGUCUCCAUUUGCAGAAACUCACUGAUCCCAGGUUAAAAUCCAAAUGGUUGAGUUAUUAAUACAUCCUAGCAGGUAGCAUUUGAGAGGUUGCUUUAGCAGGGUAGUGAAAGCAGGUUUUGCUCAGAGAGACUGCACUAGCAAUCUGUAGUAAUACGGGUUAUCCACAGAGAUCAGUGCAAACAAAAGUGAGCAUGUUCUUUGUCUGACCAGGUCUGAGUCAGCUUCUGUUUGAAGCUGUAUUCUGAAUUAGGAAGAUUCUUUAUUUCCUAGCAACUUGCAUCUAAGGAUUGUAAUAAUCACUUUGACAACAGAUGUUCACUUGUUGGUAUCUACUAUUCAAAGUUAUUUUUGUCCCUUUUUAAAGUUUGUUUAUUAAAUUGAACCAAUAAUGGAACACUCAGUCAGUAGAAAGAUGUAGUUAUACAUGAAUUUAAAUAUAUACUGCACUUGGAAUUUGGAGGGGAAAACCACAUUUACUUAUACCAUAUUUUUAUGUGACUAUUGUGUUUCUCAACAGGAGGUUAAGGUGGAUGGAGGUUAAAACUAAAGAGUAGAGUAG
This is a long non-coding RNA of Lepidothrix coronata (blue-crowned manakin), 1346 nucleotides long. RefSeq lists it as uncharacterized. The record is from RefSeq and is a predicted model, not a curated record. NCBI's taxonomy places the organism in Eukaryota, Metazoa, Chordata, Aves, Passeriformes, Pipridae. The transcript has 3 exons.